Molecule: long non-coding RNA, 372 nt
Organism: Nanorana parkeri
Lineage: Eukaryota; Metazoa; Chordata; Amphibia; Anura; Dicroglossidae
Exons: 3
Source: RefSeq, a predicted model, not a curated record
CAGUAGAUGCUUCAUCCUCUAAAUUAUUCACACUGCAGAAGCUUGUCCAUUUUGACCUAGAUUGGCAGUUUGGACCUUGUACAGGUAUCACACGGAUGGAGCGAUGGCAGAGAGCACAGGCUCUGGGGCUAAUGCCACCACAAGACAUCAAACAGAUCCUCCUGGCGCACAGUGCAGAUCCUCUGUACCAGCACAACCUUUGGAAUUCGUAUGCCAUCUAAGGAGAGCAGAGUGGAGGUGAUAGCCAAGACUGGAUGAAUGCCAGAGAUGGACAAGAUGGCUCAGAGAUUGGGCUUUACGGGAUACCAAUUCCUUGUUUAGUAUUGUUCUCAGUUUAAGAAGAUGAAAGUUAAGUCCACAUAUAGUGGCAUU